Molecule: long non-coding RNA, 549 nt
Organism: Mauremys reevesii (Reeves's turtle)
Lineage: Eukaryota; Metazoa; Chordata; Testudines; Geoemydidae
Exons: 3
Source: RefSeq, a predicted model, not a curated record
GAUAUCUCGGCAGAGUACCCGAGGACUGAAUGGGCAUGGAGAUGAAUUGCCAUCCACAUCAGGGCUGAGGCAUGAUGUCAAGAAACUGUGGAGAAGCACUUUUGAAAAUCCCACCUUAAGCGGCUUUCCCAAGGAUGUUCAGUGAGUCAAUGGCAGAAUCAGGAAAAGAAACGAGGAGCCCUGAUUCUCAGUAUCCUGUAUUAACAGCUAGACCAUCCAGACUGCCUUAUUACAGUAUAUUUUAACAAGUCAGUGGACACCUGCAUCUAUGUUAUUGUCACUAAGCUGCACAUCAGAGCUAUUCUGAACAUGGGGACACAAGUAGGGAUAGAGUUCGGAUUCCCUUGUUCAAGAAGAAAAGGCCCCUAGUGACAGACAGCACCAUACAGAGGCACCGCUGCAAAGCUCAAACUUACACCACUUCAUUUUGGGACCCCAAAGCAGCAGAACAAUAGUCUAUAUAGCAAACAAAUGACUAGUAUUUACAUAAUUACAUAUAACCACAACUUAUAAAGUAUUUGUAAGCACUUGAAUGAAACUGAUGCAUUC